RNAcentral lists this ribosomal RNA (255 nucleotides) under uncultured bacterium. RNAcentral describes it as "partial 16S ribosomal RNA". It matches the Rfam family "Bacterial small subunit ribosomal RNA", at positions 524 to 776 of the family's 1533-position model. The record is from RNAcentral.
UACGUAGGGUGCAAGCGUUAAUCGGAAUCACUGGGCGUAAAGGGUGCGUAGGCGGGUUUUUAAGUCAGAGGUGAAAUCCUGGAGCUCAACUCCAGAACUGCCUUUGAUACUGAAAGUCUUGAGUAUGGGAGAGGUGAGUGGAACUGCGAGUGUAGAGGUGAAAUUCGUAGAUAUUCGCAAGAACACCAGUGGCGAAGGCGGCUCACUGGCCCAUUACUGACGCUGAGGCACGAAAAGCGUGGGGGAGCAAACAGG